UGUACAUACCUCUGGUGUACCAGUUGUCGUGCCAACGGCAUAGCUGGGUAGCUAUUUGUGGACGGGAUAUGUGCUGAAAGAAUCUAAGCAUGAAGCCCCCCUCAAGAUGAGAUUUCCCAACUUCGGUUAUAAGAUCCCUCAAAGAUGAUGAGGUUAAUAGUUUCGAUGUUGAAGCAUGGUGACUUGUGGAGCUGUCGAAUACUAAUCGAUCGAAUACUUAAUCAA
RNAcentral lists this ribosomal RNA (225 nucleotides) under Staphylococcus aureus. Its description in RNAcentral is "partial 23S ribosomal RNA". It matches the Rfam family "Bacterial large subunit ribosomal RNA", at positions 2698 to 2925 of the family's 2925-position model. The record is from RNAcentral. Lineage: Bacteria; Bacillati; Bacillota; Bacilli; Caryophanales; Staphylococcaceae.